Non-coding RNA from Acanthosepion pharaonis, 99 nucleotides. The record is from the annotation of a GenBank genome assembly. Lineage: Eukaryota; Metazoa; Mollusca; Cephalopoda; Sepiida; Sepiidae.
CAUUAAAUACCGGUUCCCGUACGAUCAAUGAAGUUAAGCAUAGUCGAGACUUUUCAGUACCUACAUGGGUAACCGCUUGGGAAUACCAGGUGUUGUAAG